CAUAUAUUUACCGGAGGUAAAGCACUGAAUAGGUGAGGGGUCGAGAGAUUACCAACCCUUAUCAAACUAAGAAUGCCGGAUAAAUGAGUGCGGGAGUCAGACUGUGUGAGAUAAGUCUCACGGUCAAAAGGGAAACAGCCCAGACCCACAGCUAAGGUCCCCAAUAUAUGCUAAGUGGAGAAGGAUGUGGCAAUGCAAAGACAACCAGGACGUUGGCUUAGAAGCAGCCACUCAUUCAAAGAGUGCGUAAUAGCUCACUGGUCGAGUGAUGCUGCGCCGAAGAUUUAACGGGGCUAAAGCAUAUAACCGAAGCUUGGGCAGUCAUAUGACUGGGUAGGGGAGCGUCGAAUUAGGGGCGAAGCAUGAGCGGAAGCACAUGUGGACUUAAUUCGAGUGAGAAUGCCGGAAUGAGUAGCGAGAAUUGCGUGAGAAUCGUAAUGGCCGAAAAUCUAAGGUUUCCGUGGGAAGGUUCGUCCGCCACGGGUAAGCCGGGGGCUAAGGCGAGGCCGAAAGGCGUAGUCGAUGCACAUACGGUAGAUAUUCCGUAGCCGUCUAAGUUUAAGCACACUGACAUGUAUCCGGACUGUGACCCGAGCGUUGGUUGACUCGGGCGAAAGGGACUGAAAAAUAGUAGGGAAGCACAGGAAAGAUAUAGCGAGAAAAGGUGUGAGGAAUACGAAAGGCGCCCGUACCGCAAACCGACACAGGUAGAUGAGGAGAGAAUCCUAAGGCCAACGGGAGAAGGGUUGUUAAGGAACUCGGCAUAUUAACCCCGUAACUUCGGAAUAAGGGGUGCCACUGAAAGGUGGUCGCAGUGAAAAGGCCCAGGCGACUGUUUAUCAAAAACACAGGUCUCUGCAAAACCGAAAGGUGAAGUAUAGGGGCUGACGCCUGCCCGGUGCUGGAAGGUCAAGGGGAAUGCUUAGAGCAAUCGAAGGCAUGAACUUAAGCCCCAGUAAACGGCGGCCGUAACUAUAACGGUCCUAAGGUAGCGAAAUUCCUUGCCAGGUAAGUUCUGGCCCGCACGAAUGGCGUAACGAUCUGGGCACUGUCUCAACAGCCUACCCGGCGAAAUUGUAGUACCGGUGAAGAUGCCGGUUACCCGCGACUAGACGGAAAGACCCCAUGGAGCUUUACUGUAGCCUGAUACUGAUAUUUGAUCCAUUAUGUACAGGAUAGGUGGGAGACUGGGAAGCAUAGGCGUCAGCUUGUGUGGAGUCGACCUUGGGAUACCACUCUUGAUGGAUCAGGUAUCUAACCUGCAGCCGUGAAUCCGGUUGGGGGACAAUGUCAGGUGGGCAGUUUGACUGGGGCGGUCGCCUCCAAAAGAGUAACGGAGGCGUUCAAAGGUUAGCUCAGCGCGGACGGAAAUCGCGCAAUGAGUGCAAACGCAGAAGCUGGCCUAACUGUGAGACCAACAAGUCGAGCAGUAACGAAAGUUGGAGUUAGUGAUCAGGUGGUAUGUGAGUGGAAAUGCCAUCGCUUAACGGAUAAAAGCUACCCUGGGGAUAACAGGCUGAUUUCCCCCAAGAGUUCACAUCGACGGGGAAGUUUGGCACCUCGAUGUCGGCUCAUCACAUCCUGGGGCUUGGAGAAGGUCCCAAGGGUUCGGCUGUCCGCCGAUUAAAGUGGUACGCGAGCUGGGUUCAGAACGUCGUGAGACAGUUCGGUCCCUAUCUGUCGUGGGCGCAGGAUAUUUGAGAGGAGCUGACCUUAGUACGAGAGGACCGGGUCGGACGCACCACCGGUGCAUCAGUUGUCAUGCCAAUGGCAUAGCUGAGUAGCCGCGUGCGGAUGGGAUAAACGCUGAAAGCAUCUAAGCGUGAAGCCCACCUCGAGAUAAGAUAUCCCACAGCACAGCUGGUAAGGUCACUCGUAGACUACGAGUUUGAUAGGUCGGAGGUGUAAGCACAGUAAUGUGUUCAGCUGACCGAUACUAAUAGACCGAGGGCUUGAACUA
Molecule: ribosomal RNA, 1960 nt
Filed under: human gut metagenome
Description: bacterial LSU rRNA
Rfam family: Bacterial large subunit ribosomal RNA
Source: RNAcentral